This 448-nucleotide ribosomal RNA is filed under the name uncultured bacterium. Its description in RNAcentral is "bacterial SSU rRNA". It matches the Rfam family "Bacterial small subunit ribosomal RNA", at positions 328 to 793 of the family's 1533-position model. The record is from RNAcentral.
CGACCAGACUCCUACGGGAGGCAGCAGUGGGGAAUAUUGCACAAUGGGGGAAACCCUGAUGCAGCGACGCCGCGCGAGCGAUGAAGUAUUUCGGUAUGUAAAGCUCUAUCAGCAGGAAAGAAAAUGACGGUACCUGACUAAGAAGCCCCGGCUAACUACGUGCCAGCAGCCGCGGUAAUACGUAGGGGGCAAGCGUUAUCCGGAUUUACUGGGUGUAAAGGGAGCGUAGACGGCAGUGCAAGUCCGGAGUGAAAGCCCGGGGCUCAACCCUGGGACUGCUCUGGAAACUGUAAAGCUGGAGUGCGGGAGGGGCAGGCGGAAUUCCUGGUGUAGCGGUGAAAUGCGUAGAUAUCAGGAGGAACACCGGUGGCGAAGGCGGCCUGCUGGACUGCAACUGACGUUGAGGCCCGAAAGCGUGGGGAGCAAACAGGAUUAGAUACCCCAGUAA